RNAcentral lists this long non-coding RNA (6656 nucleotides) under Malus domestica (apple). Its description in RNAcentral is "long non-coding RNA (MDOM_LNC012729)". The record is from RNAcentral. Lineage: Eukaryota; Viridiplantae; Streptophyta; Magnoliopsida; Rosales; Rosaceae.
ACUUGUGAAAAUAAGUUCAUAACGAUUAGGUGAAAUUCACUUAUAUUCUAGCAUCAAAUUCAUGCAUGUAAAUUAAGCGUGCACUCUCAACCAACAUACACAAAUCAGUUUUUAUACGAAACGGAUAAGUAAAUUGAAAUCACAACUUAUGAAAUCACAACCGAAGUUAAUCAAUUCAUAUUACAAAUAUAUUCAUGGUUUCGAAUUAACCUCUAGCCAAAAUAAAAUUAAUUACACAUUAUUAAAACAAAAAUAAAAAUAGAAGUUUGGAAAGAUUAAACCGAAAGAGGAGGAUGCUUCAGUCUGUCCGUGCGCUGCCAUUUUUCUGCCCUCGGUGCUGCCAAGAGCAGCGCACCCUUCUUUCGGUUUUGCUCCAACUGCAAGGGCAGCCUUCUUCCCCAGCUGCGCUGGCAGCUCCCUCAAAUCAAGUCUGCCCUCCCCUGACCUCUCUCCUCUCCUCUGACUCCCCUUAUUUCUUCCUGUUUUCACGCUGCCCAAAAGGGCAGCCUCUUCGACCGUUUUUUUCCCCCUCCUUCUGAAGUCUGCUCUCUCCUUUUAUCCCAGUUUCCGCAAGGCAGCUCCCUCCUUAUUCUUUCCACGCCCUGACCUCCUGUCAGCGCCCCCUCUCCCUCCUUUCCAGCUCCAAGACCACCCACUGUCUAACUCCUUUCUUUUAUUCUAUUAUUUUCCCUUCUUUUCCUUUUCCUUUCUUUUUCUUUUCUUUCUUUUUCUUUUCUUCUUUGCCGUUCCUUUCUUCUUCUACAAAACAUGAAUCAUGAUGAUGUUUCAAACAUCAUCAUGACUUGUUAUUAUUAUUAUAUAUAUAUAUUUUUUUUUAAUUUUAUUUAAAAGCUGAUCUACAAAGACAGUUUUGACGAAUUUAUUACAUAAAAUUUCACUUGUUCUAUUUUUAUUUUCUUUGCAUAACAAAUCCUAUAAACACAAAAAUAACGUAAAUAGCUCAAAAAUAUAAGGAACUAACUAAGAAAAGACGAGUGAAUUCGAAGUAAAAAUAUAUAUAAAUAUGAUCCGAUCAAAUACCCCCACACUUAACUUUUGCUAGUCCUCGAGCAAAACAAAGAAAACUAGAACAAGAAGAAACAAGAAAAACAUUAGCUUCCCCCUAUGUGACCCUCAUAGAAUUUCAUUUAAGAAAACAAAUCAUCAAGAACUAUAGCUAGCAUCAAGGAACUAAUCCAAGUUCAUCUUCCUAAUUCAAAUAUUAGCAGUAAUCUUUGAAUCAUCCUUGAAGUGUAGUGUGUGAGAUAGCCAUGCUAAUGCAAUUUCAAGUUUUUAUUUUUUAAAAAUCAUCAUAUGCAAACUAGCGACCUUCUCACUGGAUAUGCACUCAAUCACACAUGUGUUUAGUUUUAAUGUGUUUCGCUCAAAGAAACAAAUGUGAAAUUUCUACCAUAAGCUUGCAUAAAGAUCACUUCUCCACAGUCAUAAUUGCAAAACUUAAAUCAAGAGGACUUUUAUUGGAUGUAAUGAGGCUUAGGGAUAGGGUUAUUGAAAUGAAAGAAUAGGAAAACACAAGUUCCAAGCUAUAUUGCAAGCAAUUCUUUUGUUUAGAUUUAUAAGAACUCAAUUUUUCCAGCGAUUCUUCUAGCACCUCCAACCAUACCCUUAAACUGAAACUUUUAAAAAAAAACUUUUUAUUUUCUUUUUUUUCUUCCUUUUUUUUUCUUCGUAUACAAUCUUUCUUUUUCUUUUCUCUCUUUUUUUUUUUUUUUUUUUUUUUUUUUAUUUUUUUUAAUACAAACAUGAAAUACCCCCACACUUAAUCUUUUGCUAAACAUCUUCACAGUACUUCACAAACGUUUCUCAUAAAACAAUCUCACAUUGCUCACUAGCUUGCUUGGAAAGGGUAAGGAAAAAUGUUUCAGGUAUAAGGGUAGACAUAUCUGGUGAUAAGAAAUAAAAGGCUCAACAUACAUGGCUCAAAUUGGCAAUCUAAUGAUAUCAUUUUUCUUUGGGAAACAUGGUUAUUUGGGCCAUAGUGGUAAACCUAAUGCCUCUAUCAUUUCCAAGUUCAUGCAAUCAAUGACAAACAUUUCGAAAGAUCGUUACGCAAGUUCUAGAGAUGUAUCUCACAAAAGUUCAUCACACAUGAAAGAAUAGGAGUGUAUGAAAAAUGCACACACUUUCAAUAGGCUCAAAAACUCACAUAGGAUGUAUAUGGUCACUAAAUUCACAUAUAAAGCUUUAAGUCAUGCUUUAGUUUCACAUCAACGAGGCUAUGUGCAUUUGGUUUUUUUUUCAAAGAUGGUCAAACAUGUACAAAACUAACAAGAGAAUUAGGAAUUUCACAAAACACAUGUUAACUAAGUUCUUGAUGAUCAUGGUUCAAAUUUGAUCCAAUUAUAUCAUUGGGUAGGGAAACUAACAAAAAAAUCUAAUUCAAAACAAUAAGGGAAACAAGACAAUAUUUUUGGAUUUUUUAAAUUUUCCGAAUUUUUAAUUUUUUUUUAAUUUUUAAUUUUUUUUUUUAAUUUUUUUUUUUUUUAAAAGAAAACAAAACUAAUUAAGAACACAAAAAAACAACAACACAGAGACAAAUGAAAUUCUAGAGAUUUCUACCCCCACACUUAAACUUGACAUUGUCCCCAAUGUCAGAAAACACUAUAAUGCAAAUAAAAAAUAAAAAAUAAAAUAAAUAAUAAGAAACAAAAUAAAACAAGUGGACUGAAAACUUCCCUAAUUUGCAGUAAAAUCAAGCGAUGACCCCCAAGCUAAAAUUCUACAUCAACUUCAAGGGUGGAAAGAACCAAAAGUUCCUGCAAAGAAAAGAAAUAAUUCAGUUAAGUACGCAAGAAAAUUUACAUAAAAAAAUAAAAAAAAUAAAAAAAUAAAAAAAUGCAAAUAUUUUACAAUAAUGUAAACUAAUAGUAUUCAUUGGUCGGGUGGUGCUUCAGUAGUAGGCGGGGCUUCAGCAGUCGGCGGGGCCACAGAAGGAGGAGGCGGCAGAGGUUGAUCAGUUGGAGCUUCACUACGCGGUGCCGCUCCAGAAGACGAAGGCAGAUGCGGUUGGAACAAACCCACAAACCUCCGAUGAUCAAGUAAAAUUUGACCAUCGGUGUCCUGCAUCUGGUCAAUCUUUCUCUUCAUGCUGGUGGCAUAAUUGUGUGCAAGCUUGUGCAAUUGUUUAUUUUCAUGCUUGAGUCCUUUAAUCUCCUCUUUGAGACUCUGUAUUUCAGCCACCAACGAUUCAACAUGACGGGUUCGGGCAAAUAGGCGUUGGGCCAUGUUGGACACGGAACCGGCACACUGCACGCUAAGAGCCAGAGACUCCUUAACCGCCAAUUCAUCAGACCGCCUAGCGAGCAGUCUGUUAUCUCUUGGGGUGACAAGGUUCCGGGCCACCACCGCAGCUGUCAUAUCAUUUUUCAUCACCGAAUCCCCCACGGUAAGGGGACCGGUAGGGGAUAUGAAGGAUGGCCGCCAUAUGUUGUCUGGUGAAGGCGGAGCUACCUCUUCACCAAUGUUCAAGUCAAAACGACGAUCAGAAGGGCCAGACAUUUUUCAGAGGUGGUGAAGAAAGAAGAGAGUCGGAAUGAUCAAGAUUAAACAAGUGCAAGAAGGGAGUGUUUACAGGAGGGUACUCAAGUGUGUUGAGGAACAAAAUUAACGCCUCUAUAAAAAGAAGAAAUCAAAGAGGCGCUCCUCAGAGAAGCGUCCUCUCGCAAAUCGAAGAGUCGGGGCUCCUUUCUCAAAAGCCGGAUUCUUUUCUCAAAAGAGGAGUUUCCUUUCUCAAAAGCCGGAUUCUUUUCUCAAAAGAGGCGUUUCAUUUCUUAAAGGCUGGGCUUGCUCAGAAACCACGAGCCGAACCCCGGAUUUCGCAAGAUCAAUUCGUCCAGACGUGUUGUCACCCGUCACACGCAAACUCAGCUCUGCGAAAAUCACGGGCAGUAUGUCGAAGUGCCGAUUCCAACCAUCUGUCUCUCUCAGCCUAGUCAGCAUUUGUCACAUGCAACUGGCAGCUUUGCGGAAAUUACGGGCAGCUUUGUCAGAAAGCGCGUAAUUUGUACUAUUCAUCCAUCCACCGGCUGCCGACACUAAGUGAGAGAACAGUUCCGGUUGUGAAGACAAGUCCUAUAAGUUUCUACCUUCGCCUUCCACAGCAAAAGCACACUCUCUCAGCACACCCUUUCAACACUUCUUCAUAUCCGAAAAUGCAUUCCCAAAGAAUCCUCUCGAGUCACUCUGUGUUCCUCAUUCCUUGGGAUACUCCUGCGAACAACCCAUUCAAAGCAAAAGUAUUUCAUAUCAUAAAGGUUGAAAGCAAGAGUAUCUCAUAUCAUGCUUUCUCCAUGUCCUUCUCCUUGUCUUUGUUUUCCGACAAGGAGAAAAGAGAGCAAUCAGCCAGCAUUUGGUAUCAAUCUUCCGAUCUGGAGCCAACUGCCUGGAACCCCUUCCUGAUUGCUUACCUAGCCUUGCUCUCGAGUACUCAUCUUCAUCAUUUUAUGCUUUCUCUUCGUCUACCACAUCUGCCUGGGGGACAGUAAGGGAAGUGAAAAUGAUACCUCGAAGCAUGUGGAGACAAUUCAGCUAGGGACAAGGAGAAAGAAAGCAAGAGGUGGGCACUUGGAAAGAUUGAAGAAAGAAAUAAGGACCAACACCUUUCCCUCGUGCCUGCCCGUUGUGCAGAAGAAGAAACAAGCAGAGAAGAAUGCAGCUUGCACAAUCAUCCCAGCGGAAGGAGUCCGAACUGAGGAACUAGAGAAGCUGCCACAUCUGCUUGGAGAACAAAUAAGGAACUGCAACAUUCCCAAAGAGCAAAGCCUUGCAGUACAAUAGCAUAAAAUCAUCACUUGCAAGUGAAAAGCUAAGUGUCACCCUGUUCAAGAGGAAAGCUGUGGAAAGUCAACAAGCACGACCAAUGAUUACUUAUUAGUUUUAUUCAUUAUCUUUUAUCGUAAUUUUCAAUUUUUCGUUUGCAAUUUUUUUUUUUUUUUUUUUUUUAAUUAAUUUUCUUGCGUACUUAACUGAAUUUGAUGCGAAAUAUAUAAGCACACACAAAUUAAACCCUCUUUUUGACAAUUGUAGUAUAGAUGUAAGUAGGGUAUCGUUCUAGGCCGGGGAUUAGGAGGGAUUGCUAAUCUAUUCUAAAUUAAUUUAAAAAUAUUAAAUAAGACUCAAGGACACAAAACUAGGCUAAAAACUCUAAUAACUUGAAACACACUUAUAAUGACUCAAAAUAAUGGAAACACUCAAAUUAGACACUAGGAACUGAAAUGGACGGAAAUUGAAUUAAAAGACUAACAACAAAGAAAACUAACUAAAUAAUAUAAUUUAAUAAUGGAUGGGUGUUUGGUUUUGAUGAAAAGUAAAAUAAACUUAAUUAAAUUACAGAAUUGACAAAAACAUAAAAUUAAGGUAAAAUGAUAAAUGACGGACUAGCUAGAGGGUUCUUCUCCACACAUGUUAUACUUGCAUACAAAAUGAUUUCCAGUUGUUCAUUUAAUAAAUUGUGAAUCUCAAUACUCCAGAUUAACCGUGAACAGCACUUUUUUAAUCUUCAAGUUUUCCUUAAGUUAUUGAAUUGGACGGAAAAACGCAUACAACAAUUCAAAACAUUCUUCAAAAGUCCCCUACGUGAAAAGCACAAUAGCGAUACAAUCAAAGAUCAUUAAACUUUGUGAAAACUAUAAGCAUUGACGAGGCAUUCGUAACUAUGAAAAGCAUGAUACUCUUGCCAAGAAUUUACUUAACGUGAUUGUGACUAGCAACCUUUACUACUUGUGAAAAUAAGUUCAUAACGAUUAGGUGAAAUUCACUUAUAUUCUAGCAUCAAAUUCAUGCAUGUAAAUUAAGCGUGCACUCUCAACCAACAUACACAAAUCAGUUUUUAUACGAACGGAUAAGUAAAUUGAAAUCACAACUUAUGAAAUCACAACCGAAGUUAAUCAAUUCAUAUUACAAAUAUAUUCAUGGUUUCGAAUUAACCUCUAGCCAAAAUAAAAUUAAUUACACAUUAUUAAAACAAAAAUAAAAUAGAAGUUUGGAAAGAUUAAACCGAAAGAGGAGGAUGCUUCAGUCUGUCCGUGCGCUGCCAUUUUCUGCCCUCGGUGCUGCCAAGAGCAGCGCACCCUUCUUUCGGUUUUGCUCCAACUGCAAGGGCAGCCUUCUUCCCCAGCUGCGCUGGCAGCUCCCUCAAAUCAAGUCUGCCCUCCCCUGACCUCUCUCCUCUCCUCUGACUCCCCUUAUUUCUUCCUGUUUUCACGCUGCCCCAAAAGGGCAGCCUCUUCGACCGUUUUUUCCCCCUCCUUCUGAAGUCUGCUCUCUCCUUUUAUCCCAGUUUCCGCAAGGCAGCUCCCUCCUUAUUCUUUCCACGCCCUGACCUCCUGUCAGCGCCCCCUCUCCCUCCUUUCCAGCUCCAAGACCACCCACUGUCUAACUCCUUUCUUUUAUUCUAUUAUUUUCCCUUCUUUUCCUUUUCCUUUCUUUUUCUUUUCUUUCUUUUUCUUUUUCUUCUUUGCCGUUCCUUUCUUCUUCUACAAAACAUGAAUCAUGAUGAUGUUUCAAACAUCAUCAUGACUUGUUAUUAUUAUUAUAUAUAUAUAUAUAUUUUUUUAAUUUUAUUUAAAAGCUGAUCUACAAAGACAGUUUUGACGAAUUUAUUACAUAAAAUUUCACUUGUUCUAUUUUUAUUUUCU